Molecule: ribosomal RNA, 465 nt
Filed under: uncultured Comamonadaceae bacterium
Lineage: Bacteria; Pseudomonadati; Pseudomonadota; Betaproteobacteria; Burkholderiales; Comamonadaceae
Description: bacterial SSU rRNA
Rfam family: Bacterial small subunit ribosomal RNA
Source: RNAcentral
CCUACGGGAGGCAGCAGUGGGGAAUUUUGGACAAUGGGGGCAACCCUGAUCCAGCCAUGCCGCGUGCGGGAAGAAGGCCUUCGGGUUGUAAACCGCUUUUGUCGGGGAAGAAAUCUUCUGAGCUAACACCUCGGGAGGAUGACGGUACUCGAAGAAUAAGCACCGGCUAACUACGUGCCAGCAGCCGCGGUAAUACGUAGGGUGCAAGCGUUAAUCGGAAUUACUGGGCGUAAAGCGUGCGCAGGCGGUCUUGCAAGACAGAUGUGAAAUCCCCGGGCUCAACCUGGGAACUGCAUUUGUGACUGCAAGGCUGGAGUGCGGCAGAGGGGGAUGGAAUUCCGCGUGUAGCAGUGAAAUGCGUAGAUAUGCGGAGGAACACCGAUGGCGAAGGCAAUCCCCUGGGCCUGCACUGACGCUCAUGCACGAAAGCGUGGGGAGCAAACAGGAUUAGAUACCCUGGUAGUC